GCGGAGACAUUACCGAGUGAGGGCCCUCUGGGUCCAACCUCCCACCCGUGUUUAUUUUACCUUGUUGCUUCGGCGGGCCCGCCUUAACUGGCCGCCGGGGGGCUUACGCCCCCGGGCCCGCGCCCGCCGAAGACACCCUCGAACUCUGUCUGAAGAUUGUAGUCUGAGUGAAAAUAUAAAUUAUUUAAAACUUUCAACAACGGAUCUCUUGGUUCCGGCAUCGAUGAAGAACGCAGCGAAAUGCGAUACGUAAUGUGAAUUGCAAAUUCAGUGAAUCAUCGAGUCUUUGAACGCACAUUGCGCCCCCUGGUAUUCCGGGGGGCAUGCCUGUCCGAGCGUCAUUGCUGCCCUCAAGCACGGCUUGUGUGUUGGGCCCCGUCCUCCGAUCCCGGGGGACGGGCCCGAAAGGCAGCGGCGGCACCGCGUCCGGUCCUCGAGCGUAUGGGGCUUUGUCACCCGCUCUGUAGGCCCGGCCGGCGCUUGCCGAUCAACCCAAAUUUUUAUCCAGGUUGACCUCGGAUCAGGUAGGGAUACCCGCUGAACUUAAGCAUAUCAAUAA
RNAcentral lists this ribosomal RNA (559 nucleotides) under Zelopaecilomyces penicillatus. RNAcentral describes it as "eukaryotic LSU rRNA". The stretch from base 189 to 341 matches the Rfam family "5.8S ribosomal RNA". Lineage: Eukaryota; Fungi; Ascomycota; Sordariomycetes; Hypocreales; Pseudodiploosporaceae. The record is from RNAcentral.